This 737-nucleotide ribosomal RNA is filed under the name uncultured bacterium. RNAcentral describes it as "bacterial SSU rRNA". It matches the Rfam family "Bacterial small subunit ribosomal RNA", at positions 57 to 791 of the family's 1533-position model. The record is from RNAcentral.
GCAGUCGACGGCAGCACGGACUUCGGUCUGGUGGCGAGUGGCGAACGGGUGAGUAAUAUAUCGGAACGUGCCCAGUCGUGGGGGAUAACGUAGUGAAAAUUACGCUAAUACCGCAUACGAUCUAAGGAUGAAAGCGGGGGAUCGCAAGACCUCGCGCGAUUGGAGCGGCCGAUAUCAGAUUAGGUAGUUGGUGAGGUAAAGGCUCACCAAGCCAACGAUCUGUAGCUGGUCUGAGAGGACGACCAGCCACACUGGAACUGAGACACGGUCCAGACUCCUACGGGAGGCAGCAGUGGGGAAUUUUGGACAAUGGACGCAAGUCUGAUCCAGCCAUUCCGCGUGCAGGACGAAGGCCUUCGGGUUGUAAACUGCUUUUGUACAGAACGAAAAGGUCUCUAUUAAUACUGGGGGCUCAUGACGGUACUGUAAGAAUAAGCACCGGCUAACUACGUGCCAGCAGCCGCGGUAAUACGUAGGGUGCAAGCGUUAAUCGGAAUUACUGGGCGUAAAGCGUGCGCAGGCGGUUAUAUAAGACAGAUGUGAAAUCCCCGGGCUCAACCUGGGAACUGCAUUUGUGACUGUAUAGCUGGAGUGCGGCAGAGGGGGAUGGAAUUCCGCGUGUAGCAGUGAAAUGCGUAGAUAUGCGGAGGAACACCGAUGGCGAAGGCAAUCCCCUGGGCCUGCACUGACGCUCAUGCACGAAAGCGUGGGGAGCAAACAGGAUUAGAUACCCUGGU